RNAcentral lists this ribosomal RNA (119 nucleotides) under Pteropus alecto (black flying fox). Lineage: Eukaryota; Metazoa; Chordata; Mammalia; Chiroptera; Pteropodidae. The record is from RNAcentral.
GUCUGUGGCCAUGCCACCCUGAACACGCCCGAUCCCAUCUGAUCUCUGAAGCCAAGCAGGGGGGGGCCUGGUUAGUACUUAGAUGAGAGACCACCUAGGAAGACCAAGUGCUGUAGCUG